RNAcentral lists this long non-coding RNA (1787 nucleotides) under Salvia miltiorrhiza (redroot sage). RNAcentral's name for it is "long non-coding RNA (SMIL_LNC005903)". The record is from RNAcentral. Lineage: Eukaryota; Viridiplantae; Streptophyta; Magnoliopsida; Lamiales; Lamiaceae.
GGAAUAGAUAAAGGUAGCAAUCACAUAUGCUUGAGUCAGAAAGUCUAUUAUAUGCAUUUGAGAUGUUUCUGAGCGUUGAUGCAUCAAAUUUUCUAACAUUAAAUGAAUUUCAAAUAAAACUGUAAAUUCAUAUAAGGAAAAUAAGGAGCAGGCAACAAUGUGAAGGUGGUGCAAAUAGAGAUCAGAGGUAGUUAGCUUAUUUGAAAUUCAUAGGCAUUUAAUUUACCUCUAAUGCAGUGUAAAAUGGCUCCACAACGCAAGCUGCAAAAUAACCAAGAUUAAAGAUCAAAUGAUAAUACAACAGAAAAGGGGCAACCAAAGAUCCAAAACUGCAGUAGUUCAUAUGCAGUCAAAUGUUAAAAUGGAGAACAUAUAGUAUAAAGGUCAAGAAUUUCAUUUGGUCCCUGUCCUAUAUAACUCAAAACUUUUAUAAACAUAGACCUCUAUUGCAAAAUACUAUAUCACAAUAUAACAAUCUAACAACAUCAAGAGCAACAAAAUCUAUUUGAACUCCGUGAUAUCCUAUAUUAAUAACUACUUGCAUAAGAAACUAUAGCAGUUUACAAAUCUGAUUUUGAACUUAUACAACCACAAGAUUUCUAUCAACAUGUAUAUAUCUCAUAAUUACAAUAAACCAUUACUACAUAUAAAUUUUUUCGAUCACAAACCAUUUUUUUCCAAUCUAACACAUUAUAGAUCAUUGGUUUUCUCCUCCCAACAGAUCAAAAUGCAUCAGAUAUGAAUUAAAUGGCACUGAAGCAGUCAUCUACAAACUAAAAAUUCCAUUCAACGCAACAGCAAACGGAGAACAGAGUAAUCAAAACCGAAAUUCGUAAAGAAUGAAGUAAAGCAAUCGCUUACUCCCUCAUAGAGUUAGUUGAAGUGAGAAUAGGAGUGGGCGACUGCAACACAGCGACUGGCGAGCGACGGUUCUGGACCAGGCACCUAGAACCAAAAAUCUGGAAAAAAGAAGAAAAAUAAGAAGAAGAUAUUGCCGCGUUAAUGCAAAAGAAAAGAAAGACAACAAAAGAAGAAGAAGGUUACCUUGCGUCUGCUGCAUUGUUAAUAAUUCAAACUAAUGAAUUUAUAGAUGAAAAUUUAGGGUUUAAGUUUCCUUCGAUAAAAUUCUUUCCAAAAAAAAUCUUUCUAAAGUUUAUAACCAUUCUAUAUUUACAUAAUUUGCAGCAACCGAAAAUUAAUUAACAUAAAAAUCUAGGGUUUAAGUUUCCAUUGUUAAAAAUCUUUCCAAAAUUUGUUCUUUCUAAAAUAAUAAUCAUUCUAUAAUUAAAAUAGUCAAACAUUAAUACUUACCAUAUGGGGGAAGGGAGGUGGCAGAUCGAUUUCUGGUUUUCUGGUGGUGGGAGGGGCAGAUCGGCGGCCAUGGCUGCCGUGGUUGCCGGAAAUCGCAAAGAGGCGGUGAGGAUUUGGGGAUCUAGGGGCGCGGCGAUUCGCGGUGGGUGCCGGCGAGGCGAAUCCAUGGUUGAGAGCAGAGCAAUAGUCAUUAGUGUUGAGAGCAUCGGAGUCGGAUUGGCCGUCGGAGUCGGAGUGCCGGCGCGGCGAAAAUGGGGAGGCGGCAAGCGUGAGUACAAAAGAAAGAAGCGGCGAUGGAGAGGUGGCAUAUCACUAAUUUAAUUGUUGAAACAGAGGAGAUGGCAGAUCGGAGGGCUUGUCACGACGGUGGCCGGCGCGGCGAAGGCGGCUGUGGUGGUGAACAGUGGUGGCGGCGAAUUGCUGUUGAGGGAAGGUAGAUGGAACUUUUGUUAGCCAAGGGACAAAAGCCAAGGGAG